This 391-nucleotide unclassified non-coding RNA is filed under the name soil metagenome. RNAcentral describes it as "partial contains 5.8S ribosomal RNA, internal transcribed spacer 2, and large subunit ribosomal RNA". The stretch from base 1 to 122 matches the Rfam family "5.8S ribosomal RNA", at positions 35 to 154 of the family's 154-position model. The record is from RNAcentral.
GAUGAAGAACGUAGCAAAAUGCGAUACUUGGUGUGAAUUGCAGAAUCCCGUGAACCAUCGAGUUUUUGAACGCAAGUUGCGCCCGAAGCCAUUAGGCCGAGGGCACGCCUGCCUGGGCGUCACACGUCGUUGCCCCCCCAUCUACUCCUUCGGGAUUGCGGGGGGCGGAUGAUGGCCUCCCGUGCGCCUCGUCGCGCGGUUGGCAUAAAUGCCAAGUCCUCGGCGACGCACGCCACGACAAUCGGUGGUUGCGAAACCUCGGUUGCCCGUCGUGUGCGGUCGUCGCGCAUCGAGGGCUCGAAAAAAUUGCCGGGCUCCGGCUCGGCUUUCAACGCGACCCCAGGUCAGGCGGGGUUACCCGCUGAAUUUAAGCAUAUCAAUAAGCGGAGGA